ACAUGCCUACAACAUAGCGUUAAUGCAUUGGAUCCAAUUAGAACUCUGCAGUUUAGCGCGCUCGGGCUAGAGUAGUACUGGGAUGGGUGAUCGCCCGUGAAGUCCUAGUGUUUUACAUGCA
Molecule: non-coding RNA, 121 nt
Organism: Picea glauca (white spruce)
Lineage: Eukaryota; Viridiplantae; Streptophyta; Pinopsida; Pinales; Pinaceae
Source: Rfam